RNAcentral lists this ribosomal RNA (418 nucleotides) under Elysia cornigera. RNAcentral's name for it is "partial 16S ribosomal RNA". It matches the Rfam family "Archaeal large subunit ribosomal RNA", at positions 1908 to 2676 of the family's 2987-position model. The record is from RNAcentral. Lineage: Eukaryota; Metazoa; Mollusca; Gastropoda; Plakobranchidae.
AGUCUUAAGAAACUAUUUAAGAUAAUGCCUGCCCAGUGCUUGUAGUAAACGGCCGCAGUACCUUGACUGUGCUAAGGUAGCAUAAUCAGUUGGCUUUUAAAUGGAGUCGGGAAUGAAUGGAUCUAUAGGGCACCGCUGUCUCUUAUAUAUUUUAUUGAACUUACUAAUUAGGUGAAAAUGCCUAAAAUUAGAAAAAAGACGAGAAGACCCUAGGAGUUUUGACAAAUUUUUAAAUAAUUUAAUUACUGUUUUUGUUGGGGCGACAAAGGAUUAGAUAUAUAACUUCCUUUAAUCAAUUUGCCGACUUUGUAUGUGAAAUUAAACUACCCUAGGGAUAACAGCGUAAUUCUUUUAGAGCUUGCGACCUCGAUGUUGGACUAGGAAUUCGUUUGGCUAGCCGCCAAUUUGCAUUGUUCUG